GUGGGGAAUAUUGGACAAUGGGCGAAAGCCUGAUCCAGCCAUGCCGCGUGUGUGAAGAAGGUCUUCGGAUUGUAAAGCACUUUAAGUUGGGAGGAAGGGCAGUAAGUUAAUACCUUGCUGUUUUGACGUUACCGACAGAAUAAGCACCGGCUAACUUCGUGCCAGCAGCCGCGGUAAUACGAAGGGUGCAAGCGUUAAUCGGAAUUACUGGGCGUAAAGCGCGCGUAGGUGGUUCAGCAAGUUGGAGGUGAAAUCCCCGGGCUCAACCUGGGAACUGCCUCCAAAACUACUGAGCUAGAGGACGGUAGAGGGUAGUGGAAUUUCCUGUGUAGCGGUGAAAUGCGUAGAUAUAGGAAGGAACACCAGUGGCGAAGGCGACUACCUGGACUGAUACUGACACUGAGGUGCGAGAGCGUGGGGAGCAAACAGGAUUAGAUACCCGAGUAGUCC
This 450-nucleotide ribosomal RNA is filed under the name uncultured bacterium. RNAcentral describes it as "partial 16S ribosomal RNA". It matches the Rfam family "Bacterial small subunit ribosomal RNA", at positions 354 to 796 of the family's 1533-position model. The record is from RNAcentral.